This 291-nucleotide ribosomal RNA is filed under the name Trypanophion gigas. Its description in RNAcentral is "partial 28S ribosomal RNA". Lineage: Eukaryota; Metazoa; Arthropoda; Insecta; Diptera; Tephritidae. The record is from RNAcentral.
CUUAGAGGUUAAGCCCGAUGAACCUGAAUAUCCAUUAUGAAAAAUUCAUCAUUAUACCUGUAAUAUUAAAAUUUAUUUUAAAAUUAUUUGUGAUAGUGUGCAUUUUUUUCAUAUAAGGACAUUGUAAUCUAUUAACAUAAUUAAAUAUUUAUCAAAAGAUCAUUAGCUUAUGGUUUAUUCGAAUUAAUUUGCUUUUAUUAGCAUAUUAACAUAAAAUAAAUACAAAUGAUUUGAUAAAGUGUUGAUAGAUUUAUUAUAUAUAAUGCUUAAAUUUUAAAUAAAAAUUUUACA